UAGCGAAGCUGCCUACAUACUGUCGAAUUAUGCACACGAUACACAGAAAUAAACUGCCACGGAUGGCAGUUCGUGGAGAAUCGCGCCACGGACGGCGCGUUGCGACGGUUGCGCCGGGAAUAGAUACCCGAUAAAGCAUAAUUCCUACAGUAUCUAGGUCGUGCAGCGU
The submitters of this non-coding RNA (169 nucleotides) gave its source as unclassified sequences. The record is from Rfam.